CUGAAGCUGAGAUAAUCAGAC
This 21-nucleotide non-coding RNA is filed under the name Mus musculus (house mouse). The record is from RNAcentral. Lineage: Eukaryota; Metazoa; Chordata; Mammalia; Rodentia; Muridae.